AGAGUUUGAUCCUGGCUCAGGACGAACGCUGGCGGCGUGCUUAACACAUGCAAGUCGAACGGAAAGCGCUCUUCGGAGUGACUCGAGUGGCGAACGGGUGAGUAACACGUGGGCAACCUGCCCUCAGCUCUGGGAUAACUCCGGGAAACCGGUGCUAAUACUGGAUAUCGACUUCUGCCUCGCAUGGGGUGUGGUUGAAAGUUUUUCGGCUGGGGAUGGGCCCGCGGCCUAUCAGCUUGUUGGUGGGGUGAUGGCCUACCAAGGCGACGACGGGUAGCCGGCCUGAGAGGGCGACCGGCCACACUGGGACUGAGACACGGCCCAGACUUCUACGGAAGGCAGCAGUGGGGAAUAUUGCGCAAUGGGCGGAAGCCUGACGCAGCGACGCCGCGUGAGGGAUGACGGCCUUCGGGUUGUAAACCUCUUUCAGCUCUGACGAAGCGAGAGUGACGGUAGGAGCAGAAGAAGCACCGGCCAACUACGUGCCAGCAGCCGCGGUAAU
RNAcentral lists this ribosomal RNA (502 nucleotides) under uncultured soil bacterium. RNAcentral's name for it is "bacterial SSU rRNA". It matches the Rfam family "Bacterial small subunit ribosomal RNA", at positions 8 to 524 of the family's 1533-position model. The record is from RNAcentral.